CUCGGAGGGAGGAAAAAAAUGCUUUUCAGUGAUUCCCGAGAACACGAAUAUUUUUUAGGCUUUUGGGGACACUGAUUGAAAGGGUUUUCCUUAGAGAACUUCUUAAUCUUAGAGCCUAAACGGAAACUGAAAUACGCACCCAGCCCAACUUCCGGAGGACCAACAUCGCGACGAACAACCAGGAAGCGAUCGGCCUGGGAGCUGUCCCCGGUUCUCUGCUCCGCUCUCUAAGGAGGAACUUUCCGGGUCCUUACACUCUGUUUUUCUUGCCCCGCGUGACCUCAGCUCCGACCUAGGCUCCGACCCGGGCCGGCCACUCCGGAACCCGCCAUGUCGUCCGACUUUGAAGGCUACGAGCAGGACUUCGCGGUGCUCACGGCAGAGAUCACCAACAAGAUUGCAAGGGUCCCCCGACUCCCACCUGAUGAGAAGAAACAGAUGGUUGCAAAUGUGGAGAAACAGCUUGAAGAAGCGAAAGAACUGCUGGAACAGAUGGAUUUGGAAGUCCGAGAGAUACCUCCCCAAAGUCGAGGGAUGUACAGCAACAGGAUGAGAAGCUACAAGCAAGAAAUGGGAAAACUCGAGACAGACUUCAAAAGGUCACGGAUCGCCUACAGUGACGAAGUACGGAAUGAGCUCCUAGGGGAUGACGGGAAUUCCUCAGAGAACCAGUUGAUAAAAUUACGUGAAGAGAGGGCACAUCUGCUCGAUAACACAGAAAGGCUGGAAAGGUCAUCCCGGAGACUAGAGGCUGGGUACCAAAUAGCGGUGGAAACCGAACAAAUUGGCCAGGAGAUGUUGGAAAACCUCAGUCACGACAGAGAAAAGAUACAGAGAGCACGUGAAAGGCUUCGGGAAACAGAUGCUAACUUGGGGAAAAGCUCCAGGGUUCUGACAGGGAUGUUGCGAAGAUACUUGUUCCUGGCUGGAAGACACUUUGUGAUAUUUGUUUGAUGACACACACCUGCUGGGUAGAUGAAAAGCUCCUGCUCCUGAGGAUGAACUACUUCAAGGGCACAAAUCAUCCAGAACCGGAUCCUGAUCGUCAUCUUGGGCAUCAUCCUGGUUAUCACCAUCCUGACGGCGAUCACUUUUUCUGUCAGAGGACACUGAUGUAUCUGCUCUUCCUUGAUAAACAGCGACCACGGCUCGUUCUGAGUAAUUAAGACAAAAUGGUCACAUGAAUCAUUUUCUUGCGCUGACAGGCUCUGAAUGACCCUCCCUCUCUCUCUCGCCACUGUUCAGCUGAAGUGCAAAGACUGUAAAAAUAUUUUCUAUUCCUGUUUGCAUGUGGGUUGGUUUCCUUUUCUAGGUUUGUCUUCACCCAGAUUUGUCCUUUAUAGGGGAAGGCGAGUGUUUAUUUGCCUUUUGGUAAUUUCAUCUACUGACCAGAAUAGCCUGGGUGACCUUCUUGCUUGCCCUGUGGACGUGGCAGGGAUCACGGUUGGGGAGAGGGCACAGAUGAGUCAGUCACAGCGGCUUCUGAUGGGCUGUGCUGUUUGUCACACACCUCUUGUCACCGAUCAACCCUUCUGUGAUGUCUGAGGAUAAAAAAUGCAGAGACCAGCAGGGCCAGAGCCACUGACUGGCCCUGCAAACCAGUCCUGUUCCUCCCCAGACAUAAUGAAUAUAGUCCACCUGCCUGAGUGUUUUCAUUGUAAAGGUGGGUAUUUAAAAGCAGUUGUGUGGGAAAUUGAGUUAGCACUUUCCCCCUUUUUCUAUGCGUACUUUUUUUUUUUUAAACCCAAGAAUAUUUUUUGCUGAGUCUGCCCAAUAUCCACUUUUCACAACUUUGAUUACUGGCUGCAAUAAAGAUUCCCUUGCCUUCCAAAAAUCCCAUCCUCCCCAGAAUCUGGUGGCAGAGAAUGCCCCAGCACAGUACUUCCCGGUGACCUCCUCUCCCCUGACCUGUGUAGGCGUCUCUGUAUACUUUCCAUCUUAAUAUCUGUACUGUCAAAAGGAGCCCUCAUACAUGCAGAGGGUCUGUCAAGGUUCUCUCCACAUCCAUUCCAGUAUGUAAAGAGAACAUGAAUAUUUCAGGAAGAGCAGGAACAUGAUUCCGUCAGUGCGAAAUUUCAGAUGUGAUUAUCAAUAUGGUAUAGUCCUAUAGGCUGAUCCACUGGAAAUAAACUUGAUGGGAAAACAUUCGCUAACCUCCUUUCAAAGAAUCAGGGGUCGCAGUGUGUUACAGUAGGACGGCUUGGGUUUUUCACUAACAAAUGCGAGCACAGCCUUCCUGAAUCCACAAGGUACUCAAACCUCUAAUGUGCUUUGUGAUUUUCUUUGGUUUCUUCCUGUCCAAGGGAACCAGGAAUUGCGUUCAAAAUGAGUUCAUUUAUGAUCAGGCUCCAAGUUGCCUGAGCUGAGGUCAUUCUCCCCCUAGUCAUAACGUGAAAUGUGUUUUUCUUAAGACUUCAUAGGCACUUCCAGGGUCCUUUCUAUCUUUUGGAUAUAAUUGGGAGCUCUGAAUCCUUGAAAAGCAAACCUGUUCCCUUCAUAAAAAAUGCUAACCACCUGUGCCCAUGGGCUGAGAUCACCUGGAUGCAGCACUUGAUUUUUUUUAUUCUUCUCCCAACUCAGAAGUGAACCAUUAUGGUUUAGAGAGGAAACACACAAUGGCAAAAUCCACCCGAGAAAUUGCACUUAUUGAAACAGGCUAGGGCCUGCAUGUGUUCAGAUAAAUCAUUUAGUAUUGUGUAAAUAAAGCCGCAGCCUUUACUUCUCGAGGAUGGUGUGGGAUUUUGGCAGAGCGCAGUAGCCCAGCAAAAGAGGGAGGGCUAUACUAAUUUUCCUAUCAGCUUCAGGGCUCUAUCCUAGCAAGAAAGAAUCUUUUAUUCUGAUAACGGAAUGAGUGUGUGUGAAACACAUCAAAGAAAUGAUGAAAAAGCAAGGCAACAAGUCAUCUCCUUCUCAUUUGGAAACUCUAAUGGUGGGGAAGUAUUCUACCAACCUUUCUGGUGGCUUCCCUCAAAACAGCUGGUCUUAGCUGAAGUGUAUAAUCGGUUACCCAGCCACAGCUCAUGCCUGUAGACUCUUCCUGAGGCCACCUGGCAAGCCAGGUCAAUCUGAUCAUCUAAACUUGCUGGCUUCUAAAUAUUUCACCUGAUGUUCAUGUUGAAAGUAGAGGUGGUGCAGAAAGAGGGUAUGGUUCACCUCUCAAUGGCAGCUUCUUUGGGGUUCUAUCUCUUUAUCAGCCCUUGCCGGAGACUUUGCCCCACUUCAACCUUAAGAGUGGGAAGAAGGUGAACAGAUAACCCUUGGCCCAACAGCCCCAUCCCAUCCACCUCGAGAACAACCUCCUAGACCGGGAUAGUGAGCACUUUGUAGGAAGCUGGUCCGAAGGCCCCUGUAUCCCCGGCUGGCCCUCCCAGAUGCUGCAGACAGACUCAAGGAGCCCCCGGUGAGGAACACUGUUCACCCUGCUUCCCUGGAGAAGGGGGAAAGCCCACUGAUUCAAAGCCAUUCAUAGAACUGUGAAAGGUCCUAGGAACUUAGUACGUCGACCUUGAUUGAUGAAUAUCUCUAAAGUCAGGAGCCUUUGUUAAAAAAUUGUGUUCAGCAGAAGGGUUGGGGGUUGCUGGGGAGGAGGAAGAGGAAGGAGGAAGCCCUUGCCAUAUAAAAUUCAUGCAGACUAAACAGUUUCCCUGACAGAAUAAAUAAAGCGGAUGCUGCCCUGCUCCAGAAUCAAAAGCAAUUUAAUUAAAGUCUCUUAAGUUGUAAAGAGUUUUAAAUGUUCCAUGUUGAAGACGAAUGCCGGCAAAUGCAGCGAGCCUGACGUCAGCUGCCAGGCCUGGACUGGGAGGCCAUUUGCUAUUCUGUUUAAGGCAGGCUGGAUUGUCUUAUUUUGGAACCAGCUUGGUGGGGGGUUUGCUUUGCUACUGCUUCUGAGCCCUGAGCUUCAAAGGCUGAAAUUAAUGGUGAACAAAAUUGUGCGGCUCUGGCCGUCCCAUGCGGGGCAAGCCCAUUGAGGGUUAUCAUUAAGUAAAGAAAUAAAGAGGGGGAAAAAAGCCUGCCUGUUCCAAAAACCUCAUCAGAUAAUGACCUCAGUGAUUGGAUUUUCAUUACCAAACAGCAUCCAGAGAUUAUCUACUCCAUGGAAGAAGGGAGGGGGGAGGGAAAAAAAAAAAGAAAGAAAGGAAAGCAACUGUCUUUCUCUUCCUCUCUCUCUCCUUUUUUUUUUUUUUGCACAUCUUUUCUUUAAAACUGUCAGAUCAUUUCAGUAUUUCAAAUCCGAGGAAAACAGCCUGCCUGCUGCUGUAUUUGAAGUUGUAAUGGUGUCAAAAAGUCACGACUGACUGACAGCCGUCAGUCCCAGAGGGGCUCAUUAAAUCAUAAAAACUUGACAAGGAAAUAAUUGCGCAUCGCCAGCAACUUGGCGCCUGUUUAGACGUUUUUAUUUUCUUUCAUUAUUAGUCCCCACCAUUACGUUCAUUAACAAAUUGCAUUAAACAACUGUUAAGGGCUAA
This is an RNA transcript of Dama dama (fallow deer), 4466 nucleotides long. It is a transcript of the gene named vesicle transport through interaction with t-SNAREs 1A, with no coding region annotated. NCBI's taxonomy places the organism in Eukaryota, Metazoa, Chordata, Mammalia, Artiodactyla, Cervidae. The record is from RefSeq and is a predicted model, not a curated record. The transcript has 10 exons.